AUGGCCGUUCGGGAGGCUCUAGCUCUCGCUCAAGAUCUUAAUGAACAAAAGAUACACGUAACUUCUGAUUGCAAGGUGGUGGUGGACGACAUCAAGCAACAGUUUGGCAAGCUACAGAGCUCAAAUUUCGAGGCUCACAAUCUAGCUAAGCAUGCUCUUAAGUUAGGGAUGGGCCGCCAUGUUUGGUUAGGAUACCCCGGUAAUCUUUUGUUCGUCCCUCAUUGCUCCGAAACUAGCCGUGCUUCGCUAUUGUUGCUCGCCUUCCUCAUUUUUCUCUCAUGGUUGAAAGUGGUGCCCGUGGCCCAUGAGGCCACACGCAGCGCGAAACAACGCCCCCUGCCCAGGCUAUCUUUCUUUUGUCCUUUUUGGGUUUCCUUAGAGCUUUUUGACCCCUUUUUUCUUUCUCCUUUCUUUUUUUUGUUCUUCUUGGAAACGGAAAAAGCCUACCACCUUUCUCUGCAUCUCCCUUCUCUGGUUUCCCAUCCCCAAUCCCCCACUCUCAGUGAGCUCCUCCUCCUCCAGCAGCACCAGCAGGAUAUCACAUUGCAACCCUCCCUCGCCGUAGAAGAAAGGAGAGCUUGCCGGGAUCGAGUCCGCGUCGUGGUGGGCGGGGCAGCUCUUGGUGGCGCCGCCGCGGGCUCGCUGUCGUGUGUCGUCCAGCCGAACCGAUGUGCCCUCCGCUCCGCCGCCAUUCUCUCCCGGAAGGUAGUUGAGAGGAUUAAAUUAGCGGGUAUGGCUGGGUUUUUUAUGGGCGAGGAGACCCAGGAGCGAAUGGAUCUAUUGCUCAUCCGGGCCUUGGUCCUUUUGAGCUUCGCGGCGCAUCUUACCAUGGCCCUGUUAGCCGGGAUCUGUCGCCGUAGAGACUCCGGCUUGCGGAGGUUUCUGGUGUGGUUUGCGUACUACGUCUACGUAACCGAGAUAGGCACGCCAAUGGCCCUCGGCUGGGUGUUCCUCGACCCCGCGGCCGCAGAUAGCGAGCAGAAGAUGUUUGCGCUCUGGGCACCUUUUCUUCUUCUCCACCUUGGUCACCCGGACAACAUCUCCAGCUACGCGUUGGACAACAAGAAGCUGACGCCGCCCAACAUCGUUGAUUUAUGCGCGACGACGGGGCUCUGCGUGCCGCCUUUUUCAUCAUGCUCUUCUUUGGUUCAUAUAAGUAUGUGGAGAGGGUGGUUGCCCUACACCGAGCUUCCUUUGCAAACAUUCGCCGCAAACGAGGGAAAGGAGUUACGGCGCAUCAGUAUUCAGGACAAAGGCCGUAGUAAGCGGGAUAAUGAUGACGUCCUGCUUGAUGCUCACGGCGUUCUCGGUGUCACCAUGGCUGCCUUGGCUGACUAUCAAGUCAGCAGUGAUGGUUAUCGGAGUUCUUAUUCUGGUUGGAAGGAGGUGAGCAAUGUGGUGGAGAUGGAGGCGUCGCUCAUGUACGACAUCUUGUACAGUACACCAAGGCAAGCGUUGAGCGUGAUCCACACUUGGGGUGGCUAUACCAUCCGUGUCCUCUCGCCGCUCGCCACCGUCACGGCACUCUGUCUCUUCCACGGUGAAAAAGGCUUGGCCCUGGUGAAUGCAGACCGGAUGACCACAUACAUCUUGCUGGUUGACCAAGAAGAAGAAGGCAAACAAGUAAGGCCGCUUCUAGGUCGCCGGACCUUCUGGUACAAUUUCAAUUUGCCACGGUGGGUGAAGCACGCAUGUCGCCGGGCUGGGAGGCAAUUAUGGUAUUUCCCACGUUGCCUUCUCGUCUCUUUGGAUCCGUCCCGGCUGUCACUGAGAAGCGGCCCAAGUGGCCACAGGUUGCUGUCGGGCUCGAGCGUCGGACAGCGCAACUUGUUGCACGAGUGCAGUACUCCUCAGGGUACACUGGAGAAGGUGGUUUCUAUUUUCGCAGGACCGGGGAAGAAGAAGAUUGAUGUCAAGGAUGAGUUGUUGGAAGCUAUGUGUGCGCGCAUGUACUGCUGGAAUCUGGCACAACAGCCGGGAGGCGUCCCAGUCCCACAAGGGAAAUCAGUGAUUGCAUGGGCUAUAAUCAGGAGCACUACAGCCAAGGUCCCCAGGGAUAGAAGUGAAGCGUCAGUCAAAUAUGAGACGAAGAUCCAAGCUAUAUCAGAUUAUAUGAUGUUCCUCCUCACUCAACGUAAGCACAUGGUACUGAAGCCAGGUGACGAGGGCAGCGACUACAAAAAAUCGCUCCUCGAUUUGAAGGAAAUAUGGCGUGUAACAGGAACAAGCGGUCCUCCAAAAACAAGAGCCAGAAGGCUUGCCAAAAGCCUUCUAUACAUGGAUGUGACUCAGGGCAGUACCAGGAAAUCAAGUCUUCUUUUCAACACAAACAAAACUCUCGCGCUUGGUGCUGACUGGGCCUUGAAGCUGUUACAUGAGCUGGACCGGUAUGGUUCUGGAAGGGAUCCAGUGUCUCUCGGAUACAGACCUGAAGAUUUCAUCCUGGUAUUCACAGAUGAGGCACAAAUCAAUAUUAAACGGUGUAGGGACAGUGGGAAACAAUUGGAACUCCUCGAUUAUAUGUUGAAGCUAAUUCUUGAUUCAUGGGUACGUUUUCUCACCUUUACGUCCCAAGAAUGCAGCAGGGAAUCCCAUGCCAACCAGCUCAGCUGUGGUGGUGAGCUCUUAACCAUCGUCUGGCUGAUGAAACAACACAGUGCACUGAAUCUCAUUUCCAAGGGUGAAUAA
This 2688-nucleotide ribosomal RNA is filed under the name Triticum aestivum (bread wheat). Its description in RNAcentral is "partial small subunit ribosomal RNA". Lineage: Eukaryota; Viridiplantae; Streptophyta; Magnoliopsida; Poales; Poaceae. The record is from RNAcentral.